CUAGGUGGACUUUUUAUGAGGAACACUGUUCAGGAGCACAGUGCAUUUCGGUUUGCUGUGCAGUUAUACAACACAAACCAAAAUACCACAGAAAAACCCUUCCAUUUGAACUAUCAUGUAGAUCACUUGGACUCUUCCAACAGUUUUUCAGUGACAAAUGCUUUCUGUUCACAGUUUUCCAGAGGAGUUUAUGCCAUCUUUGGAUUCUAUGACCAGAUGUCAAUGAACACACUGACGUCAUUUUGUGGAGCCCUUCACACAUCCUUCGUCACACCCAGCUUCCCAACAGAUGCAGAUGUGCAGUUUGUCAUCCAGAUGCGGCCAGCAUUAAAAGGAGCCAUCUUGAGUCUCUUGGCUCAUUAUAAGUGGGAAAAGUUUGUGUACCUGUAUGACACAGAACGGG
Molecule: non-coding RNA, 403 nt
Organism: Balearica regulorum gibbericeps (East African grey crowned-crane)
Lineage: Eukaryota; Metazoa; Chordata; Aves; Gruiformes; Gruidae
Source: RefSeq, a predicted model, not a curated record